GAUGAACGCUGGCGGCGUGCCUAAUACAUGCAAGUCGAGCGAACGGACGAGAAGCUUGCUUCUCUGAUGUUAGCGGCGGACGGGUGAGUAACACGUGGAUAACCUACCUAUAAGACUGGGAUAACUUCGGGAAACCGGAGCUAAUACCGGAUAAUAUCUUGAACCGCAUGAUUCAAAAGUGAAAGACGGUCUUGCUGUCACUUAUAGAUGGAUCCGCGCUGCAUUAGCUAGUUGGUAAGGUAACGGCUUACCAAGGCAACGAUGCAUAGCCGACCUGAGAGGGUGAUCGGCCACACUGGAACUGAGACACGGUCCAGACUCCUACGGGAGGCAGCAGUAGGGAAUCUUCCGCAAUGGGCGAAAGCCUGACGGAGCAACGCCGCGUGAGUGAUGAAGGUCUUCGGAUCGUAAAACUCUGUUAUUAGGGAAGAACAUAUGUGUAAGUAACUGUGCACAUCUUGACGGUACCUAAUCAGAAAGCCACGGCUAACUACGUG
This 497-nucleotide ribosomal RNA is filed under the name uncultured bacterium. RNAcentral describes it as "partial 16S ribosomal RNA". It matches the Rfam family "Bacterial small subunit ribosomal RNA", at positions 28 to 507 of the family's 1533-position model. The record is from RNAcentral.